Molecule: unclassified non-coding RNA, 506 nt
Filed under: Hevea brasiliensis (rubber tree)
Lineage: Eukaryota; Viridiplantae; Streptophyta; Magnoliopsida; Malpighiales; Euphorbiaceae
Source: RNAcentral
CAUUUGGGUGAAUAAAUUUGAAACUGAGAAAUGAAAUAGGUGGAACCAACUACCCAAUGGAGUUGAGGAUGGCAGCAUCAAGUCACACAUGGUACAGUAAUAUUUCAAACCAACCGGAGAUUGGAGCAAAUCAAAAGGAGGUGAUCUAUUUGGUACUACUCCAAAAAGAGAUUAGACACUUAUCAAGUAUCAUAUGAGCACAACAAAACUGCUUUUGCAGAUUUUUUUGUCAUGCUGAAACAGGUAAUUUUGUGGAUGUUAUUUAUCGAGGACCGAUGUUCUAACAGAAUUCCAGGGCUUUUUUUUUUUUGUCACACAGCUGGAUAUAGAGGUUUGGCAUGUUUAAUUGGGGUGUUUAUAGUUAUGAGUUCCACAAGUCAUCGUCCGUGGUCACGAGUCUUCCACAAAUCAUUGUACAAAUUGAAGACUAUAUGAUAAACAUGCACGUGAUCCCUGAUUAUUCUGAAAGGAAAAUACUCUUUUCUCAAGUUCAUCCUGCUUUCCCC